Molecule: ribosomal RNA, 120 nt
Organism: Pteropus vampyrus (large flying fox)
Lineage: Eukaryota; Metazoa; Chordata; Mammalia; Chiroptera; Pteropodidae
Source: Ensembl
GUCUACGGCCAUGCCACCCUGAAUAAGCCUGAUGGGGUCUGAUCUUGGAAGCUAAUUAGGGUCGGGCCUGGUUAUUACUUGGAUGGGAGACCACCUAUGAAGACUGGGGUGCUGUAGGCG